Molecule: small RNA, 521 nt
Filed under: Pongo abelii (Sumatran orangutan)
Lineage: Eukaryota; Metazoa; Chordata; Mammalia; Primates; Hominidae
Description: processed transcript
Source: RNAcentral
CACUUUAGGUCAAGUGCCUUCUGGGGCCUUCUGAGGAACAUGCACAAGCUGCUACAGCUACUGGUAAAGGGGUGUGAAAAGAUUGUCAGGGAUUGCCCUGACCCCAGCUUUUGAGAGCAGGUGCAGCGUGUUGUUCUCAUUCAGUGGGCGAGGUCAGGUGAAAGAGCUCUGUGUGAAGACAUUCUCUGUGGGCCAGGGCGGAGAGCACCCUGAGGAGGCAGCACUGAUGUGGUUAAUCCAUUGGCCUCCUAGACUCGGUGGGAAGCCUGUUCUCAACGGGAGGCCACUCAUUUUCUAGGAAGGACACACUGGCCAAGUAGCUUAGGCCUUCGGCAAGAGUUAAUUUUAAAGUGAGGUAAUGGCGAUGGUAACCGGAGUGUCUGUGAGGCUGUCUUCUUGGCCUUCACAGUGAUGGUUUCUAGCUUAAGUAUACAGUGUUCAUAAAGUCUACAGCAGUGUACGUCAAUGUCCCAGCCUUCCCAUUCACUCACCGCUCAUUCACUGAUCCACCCAGAGCAACU